RNAcentral lists this transfer RNA (87 nucleotides) under Verrucomicrobia bacterium IMCC26134. RNAcentral's name for it is "tRNA-Ser (CGA) (tRNA-Ser-CGA-1-1)". It matches the Rfam family "tRNA". From Rfam's summary of the family: Transfer RNA (tRNA) molecules are approximately 80 nucleotides in length. Their secondary structure includes four short double-helical elements and three loops (D, anti-codon, and T loops). The record is from RNAcentral. Lineage: Bacteria; Pseudomonadati; Verrucomicrobiota.
GGAGAGGUGGCAGAGUGGUCGAUCGCGCCGCACUCGAAAUGCGGUGAACCGAAAGGUUCCGGGGGUUCGAAUCCCCCCUCUCCGCCA